RNAcentral lists this unclassified non-coding RNA (219 nucleotides) under uncultured fungus. RNAcentral describes it as "sequence contains ITS1, 5.8S rRNA gene". The stretch from base 171 to 219 matches the Rfam family "5.8S ribosomal RNA", at positions 1 to 49 of the family's 154-position model. The record is from RNAcentral. Lineage: Eukaryota; Fungi.
UCUCCGUUGGUGAACCAGCGGAGGGAUCAUUACAGAGUCGUAAAACACUCCCAAACCCAUGUGAACUUACCAUUGUUGCCUCGGCGGGCUACCCUGUAGACCGCCGGUGGACCACACCAAAACUCUUGUUGUGAUAUUGUCAUUCUGAAUUUAAAAACUUAAUCAGUUAAAACUUUCAACAACGGAUCUCUUGGUUCUGGCAUCGAUGAAGAACGCAGC